This 310-nucleotide ribosomal RNA is filed under the name uncultured bacterium. RNAcentral's name for it is "bacterial SSU rRNA". It matches the Rfam family "Bacterial small subunit ribosomal RNA", at positions 30 to 327 of the family's 1533-position model. The record is from RNAcentral.
AGCGAACGCUGGCGGCGUGCUUAACACAUGCAAGUCGCGCGCGAAAGGGAGCUUCGGUUUCUGAGUAGAGCGGCGAACGGGUGCGUAAGACGCGGGUGACCUAUCCUUGAGGCGGGGAUACCCUUGAAGAGGGCUAAUACCGGAUGAGCCCACAGGCAGAGAUGCCAGGGGCGAAAGGUAGCGGUUAAUAGGCGCAUGUCUUCAGGGAGGGGCCCGUGGCCUAUCAGCUAGUUGGUGUGGUAACGGCGCACCAAGGCGAAGACGGGUAGCUGGUCUGAGAGGAUGGCCAGCCACACGGGGACUGAGACAC